CCUACGGGUAGCAGCAGUCGAGAAUUUUUCUCAAUGGGGGAAACCCUGAAGGAGCGACGCCGCGUGGAGGAUGAAGGCUUUCGGGUUGUAAACUCCUGUCAUUUGAGAACUAGUAUCAGAAGAGGAAGGGACGGCUAACUCUGUGCCAGCAGCCGCGGUAAUACAGAGGUCCCAAGCGUUGUUCGGAUUCAUUGGGCGUAAAGGGUGCGUAGGUGGCGCCGUAAGUGGGGUGUGAAAUUUCGGAGCUUAACUCCGAAACUGCAUUCCAUACUGCGGUGCUUGAGGACUGGAGAGGAGACUGGAAUUCAUGGUGUAGCAGUGAAAUGCGUAGAGAUCAUGAGGAAGACCAGUGGCGAAGGCGGGUCUCUGGACAGUCCUGACACUGAGGCACGAAGGCUAGGGGAGCGAACGGGAUUAGAUACCCCAGUAGUC
Molecule: ribosomal RNA, 432 nt
Filed under: uncultured bacterium
Lineage: Bacteria
Description: partial 16S ribosomal RNA
Rfam family: Bacterial small subunit ribosomal RNA
Source: RNAcentral